CGCAUCUGUGCAUGCAGCAUAUCAAUAAGCGGAGGAAAAGACUGCGGAACUGAACGACCACUACCUACGCUUAGGAUGUUGACGCGCGUGUGUGCGUGGUCUAUACAUGACUCUGUGCAUAUCAAUAAGCGGAGGAAAAGCGCAUUAAAGAUCCAGAUACCUACGCUUAGGUUGACGCGCGAUGCUGUGGGUCUACAUGACUAUGGCAUAUCAAUAAGCGGAGGAAAAGAAACUAACAAGGAUUCCCUUAGUAACGGCGAGUGAAGCGGGAAGAGCUCAAAUUUGAAAUCUUCAAGGUUUUACCUUGACGAAUUGUAGUUUAAAGAAGUGUUUUCUGUUGAAGUUUUGGUAAAAGUUCUUUGGAAUAGGACAUCAUAGAGGGUGAGAAUCCCGUAUUUGACCAUUAUUUUCAGCUGUGUGAUACACUUUCAAAGAGUCGGAUUGUUUGGGAAUGCAGUCCAAAAUGGGUGGUAAAUUUCAUCUAAAGCUAAAUAUUGGCGAGAGACCGAUAGCGAACAAGUACCGUGAGGGAAAGAUGAAAAGAACUUUGAAAAGAGAGUUAAACAGUACGUGAAAUUGUCAAAAGGGAAGCGUUUGACACCAGUGUUGUUUUCUCGAAAAUCAAUUAAAAAGAGUUAGAUUUUGUUGUGUAUUGACCUUAACAGCUUGCAUUUCAAUUUUCUUGCUUUUUUUAAUGCACUUUUCGUUUAACAAGUCAACAUCAGUUUCUUUUGUUGUAAAAAGGUCAUUGGAAGGUGGCUUUCUUUUCGGAGAAAGUGUUUAUAGCCUUUGACUCCUGCAAUCGGAGAGACUGAGGUCUGCAGCGUAGAUCCUUCGGGGUUAGAUACAUUUGUGCUAAGUUAUAGCUUUUUAUAGACAACUUGUUGACUAUGAUUAGUCUUGUAGCUUACUCGCUUAUGCUAUUUUACCUACGCUUAGGAUGUUGACGCGCGUGUGUGCGUG
This 963-nucleotide ribosomal RNA is filed under the name uncultured Neocallimastigales. RNAcentral describes it as "partial large subunit ribosomal RNA". The stretch from base 173 to 963 matches the Rfam family "Eukaryotic large subunit ribosomal RNA", at positions 1 to 639 of the family's 3401-position model. The record is from RNAcentral. Lineage: Eukaryota; Fungi; Neocallimastigomycota; Neocallimastigomycetes; Neocallimastigales.